RNAcentral lists this ribosomal RNA (497 nucleotides) under uncultured bacterium. RNAcentral's name for it is "partial 16S ribosomal RNA". It matches the Rfam family "Bacterial small subunit ribosomal RNA", at positions 28 to 507 of the family's 1533-position model. The record is from RNAcentral.
GAUGAACGCUGGCGGCGUGCCUAAUACAUGCAAGUCGAGCGAACAGACGAGGAGCUUGCUCCUCUGACGUUAGCGGCGGACGGGUGAGUAACACGUGGAUAACCUACCUAUAAUACUGGGAUAACUUCGGGAAACCGGAGCUAAUACCGUAUAAUAUAUUGAACCGCAUGGUUCAAUAGUUAAAUACGGUUUUGCUGUCACUUAUAGAUGGAUCCGCUCCGCAUUAGCUAGUUGGUAAGGUAACGGCUUACCAAGGCAACGAUGCGUAGACGACCUGAGAGGGUGAUCGGCCACACGGGAACUGAGACACGGUACAGAGUCCUACGGGAGGCAGCAGUAGGGAAUCUUACGCAAUGGGCGAAAGCUUGACGGAGGAACGCCGCGUGAGUGAUGAAGGUCUUCGGAUCGUAAAACUCUGUUAUUAGGGAAGAAAAAAUGUGUAAGUAAAUAUGCACGUAUUGACGGUAACUAAUAAGAAAGCCACGGCUAACUACGUG